Small nuclear RNA from Chelonoidis abingdonii (Abingdon island giant tortoise), 139 nucleotides. Its record names the gene U4. It matches the Rfam family "U4 spliceosomal RNA". From Rfam's summary of the family: U4 small nuclear RNA (U4 snRNA) is a component of the major U2-dependent spliceosome. The structure of U4 snRNA from yeast and human has been reported. NCBI's taxonomy places the organism in Eukaryota, Metazoa, Chordata, Testudines, Testudinidae. The record is from Ensembl.
CUCUUUGUGCAGUGGCAGUAUCGUAGCCAAUGAGGUUAAUCCGAGGCAUGAUUAUUGCUAAUUGAAAACUUUUCCCAAUACCCUGGCAUGACGACUUGAAAUAUAGUCGGCAUUGGCAAUUUUUGACAGUCUCAAACCU